This 500-nucleotide ribosomal RNA is filed under the name uncultured bacterium. RNAcentral describes it as "partial 16S ribosomal RNA". It matches the Rfam family "Bacterial small subunit ribosomal RNA", at positions 30 to 523 of the family's 1533-position model. The record is from RNAcentral.
AUUGAACGCUGGCGGAAUGCUUUACACAUGCAAGUCGAACGGCAGCACGGACUUCGGUCUGGUGGCGAGUGGCGAACGGGUGAGUAAUGUACCGGAACGUAUCCAAUAAUGGGGGAUAACUAGUCGAAAGAUUAGCUAAUACCGCAUACGCCCUACGGGGGAAAGCUAGGGACCUUCGGGCCUGGCGUUAAUGGAGCGGCCGAUAUCUGAUUAGCUAGUUGGUGAGGUAAAAGCUCACCAAGGCGACGAUCAGUAGCUGGUCUGAGAGGACGACCAGCCACACUGGAACUGAGACACGGUCCAGACUCCUACGGGAGGCAGCAGUGGGGAAUUUUGGACAAUGGGCGAAAGCCUGAUCCAGCCAUUCCGCGUGAGUGAAGAAGGCCUUCGGGUUGUAAAGCUCUUUCGCAAGAGAAGAAAACUUACCCUCUAACAUAGGGUGAGGCUGACGGUAUCGUGAUAAGAAUCACCGGCUAACUACGUGCCAGCAGCCGCAGUAA